UACGUAGGGGACGAGCGUUGUCCGGAAUUACUGGGCGUAAAGGGCGCGCAGGCUGCGCGUCGAGUCGGCUGUCAAAGAUCCGGGCUUAACCCGGUGAAGCGGUCGAGACCGACGAGCUGGAGUGCUGCAGAGGCAAGUGGAAUUCCCGGUGUAGCGGUGAAAUGCGUAGAUAUCGGGAAGAACACCGGUGGCGAAGGCGACUUGCUGGGCAGCAACUGACGCUGAGGCGCGAAAGCCAGGGGAGCGAACG
RNAcentral lists this ribosomal RNA (250 nucleotides) under uncultured bacterium. RNAcentral describes it as "partial 16S ribosomal RNA". It matches the Rfam family "Bacterial small subunit ribosomal RNA", at positions 524 to 774 of the family's 1533-position model. The record is from RNAcentral. RNAcentral also lists the same sequence under 1 other name.